CUGGCCCAGCUAAUUAUGCCAAAUACAAAAUUAAUACCACUCAUGCCUUCCUUUAUUUUCCUCUUCCCUAUUUAUAAGCUUCUGGGUAUGUGAUUCUGUUCUGCACUGCCACUAGCUCGCAUGGCUUACCAAUUCCUCUAACUACUCUAUUUCCCGAACCUUCUCUCCAUCUGCUAGAAUAUUCCUAGCUCAGCUCCAUUCCCUAACAUUACCAGCCCCUUGAAGAUAGCCUUGUCCUCAAGGUUGAAAUGUGACCACUGAUUGUGAAUACCAAGUCCCUCCAAAUGGCAUGAACUGCAGAAAGAGCAUUGCAUUGAAUCAGAAUUGAGGAAUUUGCUCUCUCUUGCACAGUAUGAUUCCCCUUUUAUAUAUCAAGACUGACAAUACAUCCGUUGCAUUUUCUCUAGUUAUACCUUCGAUAACUGCCUGAAAGAAAAUUAAUACUGUAAUAAGCACUUCUCUAAUCAAAGAUGGAUUCCCUUUAAUGCAUACUCGUCCCUGUUUAAGAAUUAUUGACAAUUUCACCCAAUUAAUCAAUUCCUCUCCCAUAUUUACUAACCAAGCUAUUCCCAAAAUGAAAUCAAUUCUCAUCAGUUAAAACACAAAACAACUUGUCUUCAAUUGCAGUUUACACAGACACAAUUUUAGUGGGUAGGCCCUUUGUAUAAAAUGGAGCUUGUAACCAUUACCCAAUUGAAUGCUGGAAUAAGUGGUAUAUUUUACUCGAAGCUGGAAAAAUGAGAUUGAUGUGAGUGUCCCAAAUUUAAGACUUCCCUUGCUAAUAGUUGGCUUCCUAUCCAUUAAUCCCAAAUUUAACCAUAGCACCCUGUGAGUGAAAUUAACUCGAACAUUAUGUUGCCACCCUUGCAUCAAUUUGCUGGAAAUUGUGAUUGCCUAAUGUUUGAAAAAAAAAUUAAAAAAUGGUAGAAGGCAAGAAAAUCAAGAAAUGGUUGAAGGGGCAAGAAUUGAAUAACCGUUUAUUAAAUUUUGUUGGGCCUUGAUUUGGAGGCUUGGGAGGUGGCCUUAGAAAAUUGUGUGGGUGUACACGUAACUUGGGUGGUCUAGCCUAGUGGUGUAACCAUUUAAGCGGACCAAAAGAUUUGGAUUCAAGUUUUGAAUUUGUUGGUGAAACUGGGCCAACCUUUCUAACCCCUCCUUUCAAUCAAAGCCCAAGUCCCAUACCUAUCUUCUUCAUCCCUCCAUAAGUACCAGACACCUCAAUAAACAGGUCCCUCUCCUGCAUCGGCUUCUUAAUUUGUUGGUUAUGCUUUAUGUCAAAGUCCCUCAUCCAAUCAGCUUUUAUGCCCUCUCAUAACCUUGUACUCAAAUAACCCAGAAACUUAGCUUUGGAGAGUGCUAGUACCCACGUUGCUUUAGAGAUCGACACUUCGUCAUUCUUCGUCUUUGAGCCUACUCGUUGAACUUUGGCGGGAUUUCCAAAGUUACCAUCGUUAACUUCCCUAAAAUGUUGAAGAAUUGCUGCUUUAAAGUGGUCCUAAGAUGGUUGCAUGUCUUGUUGGCAAAACUCUCGCACCCAUUGAAGCGGUUCUGUAUCCAUUUUGGCCAAAACAAAAAGGUUUUUCAUAUCAUAGUGAGUCCCAUAUAUUGCCAAAAUAUCGCUCAGUGUGUGCAAUCCAUUGAAUGUUAUAUCAACUGUCUUUGCGAUGAAUGGAACUUUCUUCCGAAGUCGAUCUUGAGCAUCCACACAAAUGGUCGUAGUCUCCCCAUUGGCUGGUUGUUGAAAUUGGAGAUUGGAAACGUUGUCAUCGUGCACUAUUACCUUCUCCUGCAUCAACAAGGUUAGCAUAUUUUUUAUUCUUUUGAAUUUCUGUUCCCGCUCCAAGCGAAGAUUAGCUAGUUUUUGUGCUAGGGAAACCAUUCUCCUCUCCAUCUUUUCGAUUUUGUUCUCCAUUAUUAUGGUUGUGAGAAUUCGUUAGCGGGCUAGACCAAUUGAUAGAGUAGGGAGUUUUAGCAGCAGAAUAAGAGAAACAAAUAAGAGAAAAAUCAGCUCAAUAAAGCUUCUAUUAUUGUAAUUUUUGGAAAUGAAUAGCAGAUACAACCAAAUGACAAUACACAAAUCAAAUGGUUAUCUAGAAACUCAGAGAGAAUCCUAGUCUAGCAAAUUAUGCUGAAUACAAAAUUAAUACCAGUCAUGCCUGUCUUUAUUUCCCUCUUCCCUAUUUAUAAGCUUUUGCGCAUGUCAUUCCGUUAUGCACUAGCUGGCGUGGCCUACCAUUUCCUCUAACUACUCUAUUUCCCAAACCUUCUCACCAUUCCUUUACAUUAAGUUUCUUUUUUAUUUUUUAUUUUUGUAAAAAUGCACAAUAUAAGAUGCUAUAAUGUAGUGCUUGCUAGGAGAGAUGAGAGAAAAGGCUGAUAUGAUUUCAUGUGAUGCAUGGUUAUUAAAGGCGUGCCUCAGGCUCUAGGUUCACCAGGCUCCAACCCUAGCGCCUCCAUAGGAGAAAGGCGGGCGAUAUUCACCAUGCCCCAUAGUUAUCAAAGGCUCAAGGUGCACCAGGCGCCAAGGUGUCCUGGAGCCUAGGCGGUGUCCUGGAGCCUAGGUGUAAGGCACAGGCGCGCUCCUGAGGUGCAAAAAUAAAAAUAAAAAAUAAA
RNAcentral lists this unclassified non-coding RNA (2613 nucleotides) under Hevea brasiliensis (rubber tree). The record is from RNAcentral. Lineage: Eukaryota; Viridiplantae; Streptophyta; Magnoliopsida; Malpighiales; Euphorbiaceae.